Long non-coding RNA from Tarenaya hassleriana, 567 nucleotides. RefSeq lists it as uncharacterized. NCBI's taxonomy places the organism in Eukaryota, Viridiplantae, Streptophyta, Magnoliopsida, Brassicales, Cleomaceae. The record is from RefSeq and is a predicted model, not a curated record. The transcript has 3 exons.
UGCGUAGGUCUCUCUAUUCUUAAGCCGAACUAUUCUUUUCACUUGACGACAUCUCUCCUCAGACCCAUCGCCGUCGCCGAGCUCUCCUGCCUCCCCUUGUCGAUCGUCCACCGCGUGUGCCUGAGAAAAAGAAAACUCCUUCUGCUCUCCGAGAAAAUGAAAGAGUCGGGUUUUUUAAUACCUCAAGAAAUCCCUAACCACAGCUGGAUAAAGAGACGACUGGAAGCUGCACCCAACCGAUUUGGAAUCAACCCUGGAAGGCAUUGGGACACAGUCGAUCGCAGUAACGGAUAUGAGAGACAGAUGUUCAAGAGGAUGAACGAGAAAAGAGCCACCGAAAGGGAAGCUUACCUUUCGUCAGUUUGAUGCAUCUCAUCUCGUCCGCCAGACCUCCACCACCUCGAAUAAAACUGGAAUGACCCAGUCUUCCAUUUGUAUACGAGUUGAACUCUGCUUUUGCUUGGUUUUCUUUCCUGUAGGAUCAUGUGAGAGAUCCGUUUGUUUCUCUCCUUUAUCAUUUCAUAUAAUUUUCUGAUAAACCCCUUAUAUUAAUCUUUUGCUUCUGAU